Molecule: long non-coding RNA, 484 nt
Organism: Girardinichthys multiradiatus
Lineage: Eukaryota; Metazoa; Chordata; Actinopteri; Cyprinodontiformes; Goodeidae
Exons: 4
Source: RefSeq, a predicted model, not a curated record
UCCCGCACCUGCUUCCACUUCUCUUCUGAUUAACCUAGCUUCUCCCUCAUUGGUCCACUCUCCUUCUCUCCCUGCUUAUAUACCCGGUUCCUCUAAUUAUUCUUCGCUGGUUCCUCAUUUCAUGUAUACCAUGUUUGUCACGUCUUUCCUCGAACUCUUUGGAUUAUGCUUCUUGUGAAUUCUCUUCUGUGAAUCUCCUACGACCUUGAAUUAGAAAGUGAGUCCUUCUACUAGAGGCACCAAAAUUCCUGCAUAAUGGGGAUGUGGAUUCAAAUAUUAAGAAAACAUACAUAGAAGCUUCAUACCGACAGUAACAUGUAAGCAGAUAGGAAAUGGUGGAAAGGUGUGCAGAAAACGUCACCGGGGCCAGGGUUCGAUCCCGCGACAGCGUGCAUCGAGGACUAAGGCCUCCGUAUAUAGGUUGCACACUUAAACCCUAUACCACCAGCACCGCACCCUAAAGUCAACUUUCAAUAAAACUUUA